Molecule: ribosomal RNA, 450 nt
Filed under: uncultured bacterium
Lineage: Bacteria
Description: bacterial SSU rRNA
Rfam family: Bacterial small subunit ribosomal RNA
Source: RNAcentral
GUGGGGAAUAUUGGACAAUGGGCGAAAGCCUGAUCCAGCCAUGCCGCGUGUGUGAAGAAGGUCUUCGGAUUGUAAAGCACUUUAAGUUGGGAGGAAGGGCAGUCAGCGAAUACCUGGUUGUCUUGACGUUACCGACAGAAUAAGCACCGGCUAACUCUGUGCCAGCAGCCGCGGUAAUACAGAGGGUGCAAGCGUUAAUCGGAAUUACUGGGCGUAAAGCGCGCGUAGGCGGUUUGUCAAGUCGAAUGUGAAAUCCCCGGGCUCAACCUGGGAACUGCAUCCGAAACUGGCAAGCUAGAGUAUGGUAGAGGGUGGUGGAAUUUCCUGUGUAGCGGUGAAAUGCGUAGAUAUAGGAAGGAACAUCAGUGGCGAAGGCGACCACCUGGACCAAUACUGACGCUGAGGUGCGAAAGCGUGGGGAGCAAACAGGAUUAGAAACCCCAGUAGUCC